Molecule: ribosomal RNA, 491 nt
Filed under: uncultured bacterium
Lineage: Bacteria
Description: partial 16S ribosomal RNA
Rfam family: Bacterial small subunit ribosomal RNA
Source: RNAcentral
AGUGAACGCUGGCGGUAGGCCUAACACAUGCAAGUCGAACGGCAGCACAGUAAGAGCUUGCUCUUACGGGUGGCGAGUGGCGGACGGGUGAGGAAUACAUCGGAAUCUACUUUUUCGUGGGGGAUAACGUAGGGAAACUUACGCUAAUACCGCAUACGACCUACGGGUGAAAGCAGGGGAUCUUCGGACCUUGCGCGAUUGAAUGAGCCGAUGUCGGAUUAGCUAGUUGGCGGGGUAAAGGCCCACCAAGGCGACGAUCCGUAGCUGGUCUGAGAGGAUGAUCAGCCACACUGGAACUGAGACACGGUCCAGACUCCUACGGGAGGCAGCAGUGGGGAAUAUCGGACAAUGGGCGCAAGCCUGAUCCAGCCAUACCGCGUGGGUGAAGAAGGCCUUCGGGUUGUAAAGCCCUUUUGUUGGGAAAGAAAGGCAGCAGGUUAAUACCCCGCUGUUCUGACGGUACCCAAAGAAUAAGCACCGGCUAACUUCGU